UUUCCGUAGGUGAACCUGCGGAAGGAUCAUUAUUGAAUAGGUUGAAGGGCUGUCGCUGGCCCAAAAGUCGUGCACGCCCGAGUGUGUCCUCUUGCAUAAUAAUCCAUCUCACCCUUUGUGCAUCACCGCGUGGGCACCCUUCGGGAUCAUCUCGGAGGGGGGCUCGCGUUUUCACACAAACCCCCCUUUUAAAAGUGUAGAAUGACCACAUUUAUGCAAUCAAUACAACUUUCAACAACGGAUCUCUUGGCUCUC
Molecule: unclassified non-coding RNA, 255 nt
Filed under: plant metagenome
Description: partial contains small subunit ribosomal RNA, internal transcribed spacer 1, and 5.8S ribosomal RNA
Source: RNAcentral